GACGAACGCUGGCGGCGUGCCUAAUACAUGCAAGUAGAACGCUGAAGAGAGGAGCUUGCUCUUCUUGGAUGAGUUGCGAACGGGUGAGUAACGCGUAGGUAACCUGCCUUGUAGCGGGGGAUAACUAUUGGAAACGAUAGCUAAUACCGCAUAACAAUGGAUGACACAUGUCAUUUAUUUGAAAGGGGCAAUUGCUCCACUACAAGAUGGACCUGCGUUGUAUUAGCUAGUAGGUGAGGUAAUGGCUCACCUAGGCGACGAUACAUAGCCGACCUGAGAGGGUGAUCGGCCCCACUGGGACUGAGAAACGGCCCAGACUCCUACGGGAGGCAGCAGGAGGGAAUCUUCGGCAAUGGGGGCAACCCUGACCGAGCAACGCCGCGUGAGUGAAGAAGGUUUUCGGAUCGUAAAGCUCUGUUGUAAGUCAAGAACGGGUGUGAGAGUGGAAAGUUCACACUGUGACGGUAGCUUACCAGAAAGGGACGGCUAACUACGUG
RNAcentral lists this ribosomal RNA (497 nucleotides) under uncultured bacterium. Its description in RNAcentral is "partial 16S ribosomal RNA". It matches the Rfam family "Bacterial small subunit ribosomal RNA", at positions 28 to 507 of the family's 1533-position model. The record is from RNAcentral.